Molecule: small RNA, 29 nt
Filed under: Bombyx mori (domestic silkworm)
Lineage: Eukaryota; Metazoa; Arthropoda; Insecta; Lepidoptera; Bombycidae
Description: ovarian small RNA-17656
Source: RNAcentral
GUAGGGUUCAACAAGCCCGUCAGGACAGC